AUUGAACGCUGGCGGCAGGCCUUACACAUGCAAGUCGAACGAGUGGCGGACGGGUGAGUAAUGUCUGGGAAACUGCCUGAUGGAGGGGGAUAACUCCUGGAAACAGUAGCUAAUACCGCAUACCAUCGGAUGUGCCCAGAUGGGAUUAGCUCAUUGGUGGGGUCACGGCUCACCAAGGCGACGAUCCCUAGCUGGUCUGAGAGGAUGACCAGCAACACUGGAACUGAUACACGGUCAAGACUCCGACGGGAGGCAGAAGUGGGGAAUAUGGGACAAUGGGGGCAAGCCUGAUGCAGCCAUGCCGCGUGUAUGAAGAAGGCCUUCGGGUUGUAAAGUACUUUCAGCGGGGAGGCGUUACCCGCAGAAGAAGCACCGGCUAACUCCGUGCCAGCCGACGCGGUAAUAC
RNAcentral lists this ribosomal RNA (406 nucleotides) under uncultured bacterium. RNAcentral describes it as "partial 16S ribosomal RNA". It matches the Rfam family "Bacterial small subunit ribosomal RNA", at positions 30 to 526 of the family's 1533-position model. The record is from RNAcentral.